UUUCCGUAGGUGAACCUGCGGAAGGACCAUUAUUGUAUAACAGAGCUGCGAAGGCUAUCGCUGACUCGACAGGACGCGCACGCUCGAGUGCCCUCACAAACAUCAAUCCGACCCCUAUGCGCACCAACGGGCGGACCCCACUCUGGCUUGUUCCGAGGGGGGCUUACGUUUUCACACAAACUGUGUAUGCAGUGUAGAAGGCAAUUUUUGUCUUUGCUAUCACGCAAUCAAUAAAACUAUCAACAACGGAUCUCUCGGUUCUGGCCUCCAUGACGAACG
Molecule: unclassified non-coding RNA, 279 nt
Filed under: plant metagenome
Description: partial contains small subunit ribosomal RNA, internal transcribed spacer 1, and 5.8S ribosomal RNA
Source: RNAcentral